UUUCCUUUCCUUAUUUCCUUCUUUCCUUUCCUUUCCUUUCCUUUCCUUUCCUUUCCUUUCCUUUCCUUUCCUUUCCUUUCCUUUCCUUUCCUUUCCUUUCCUCUUUCCUCUUUCCUCUUUCCUCUUUCUUCUUUUCCUCUUUCCUCUUUCCUCUUUCCUUCCCUUCCCUUCCCCUCCCUUUCCUAGGCAGGAGGGCUGAGCAGUAAGAAGGCAGAGAGCUUGGCUCCUGGGUGCUGCUGUCCUUCCAGCUGCCCCAGUGCCCUCGCAGGGCACCGUGAACAGCCGCUCCUGCCCGUGAGGCAGCUGGUCCGUCUCAGGUUCCUCCUCCUCCUCUCCUGGGGACCCAGCGGCCAGCCGCCCUCCUGCUUGCCGGACUUAACCAGAGGCCGUUUUCUUGGAGAGUUUGUUUUCCGGUGGUUGAAGUCCUCUUGCAGAAGAGUUUGUAAAGUGAAGAACAGAACAACGUGA
Molecule: long non-coding RNA, 468 nt
Filed under: Chinchilla lanigera (long-tailed chinchilla)
Lineage: Eukaryota; Metazoa; Chordata; Mammalia; Rodentia; Chinchillidae
Description: lncRNA (ENSCLAG00000026829.1)
Source: RNAcentral